CUGGCGAGCGCGCGCUUGGUCCGGCGUGCGCGUGGCCGCUGCUGCCGGGCUGCCCGCUAGGCGGGGAUCGAUUGGGGUGGGGCGAGAAGCCUGCGGCCGCUGCCUUCCCUAGGGUCAAGCCGGUAUUUGCUUUGUCGUGCGGCAUCGGCGGCAACAGAAGGCGAAGGGAGGCCGUUUUGAAGUGAUCUGUGUAUAGGCGCUAGCUUCAAGUGUUCCCACCAAACUGGGACUGUAGGACUCCAGCCAGUCCCAAACUCCCCAGCUAGUCCAGAGAACCUGCCGAUGGAGGAGUUGUGUCAUUCUUCUGAGUACCAGAGAACUACAAUCACUGAAAAUAUAACACUUCGGCUACCCAGGGAGAUGAUCUUUGAAUCCUUGUCUGUAGCUGGACAUCCUUCAAAAAUGUUUGGUCAGGGGAUUUCCACUGGAACUGUUACCACGAAUCACUGAGCUCCUGACUUGUGCAAUGAGAGAAAGUAGAAAUAAAAAU
This 490-nucleotide long non-coding RNA is filed under the name Gopherus agassizii (Agassiz's desert tortoise). Its description in RNAcentral is "lncRNA (ENSGAGG00000021414.1)". Lineage: Eukaryota; Metazoa; Chordata; Testudines; Testudinidae. The record is from RNAcentral.